RNAcentral lists this ribosomal RNA (248 nucleotides) under uncultured bacterium. Its description in RNAcentral is "partial 16S ribosomal RNA". It matches the Rfam family "Bacterial small subunit ribosomal RNA", at positions 796 to 1041 of the family's 1533-position model. The record is from RNAcentral.
CACGCUGUAAACGAUGAGUGCUAGAUGUCGGGAAUUUAUUUUUCGGCAUCGUAGCUAACGCAUUAAGCACUCCGCCUGGGGACUACGAUCGCAAGAUUAAAACUCAAAGGAAUUGACGGGGGCUCGCACAAGUGGUGGAGCAUGCGGUUUAAUUCGAUGCUACGCGAAAAACCUUACCAACCCUUGACAUGGUGGUCGCGGGUCUCAGAGAUGAGACCCUUCAGUUCGGCUGGACCACACACAGGUGU